RNAcentral lists this ribosomal RNA (253 nucleotides) under uncultured bacterium. Its description in RNAcentral is "partial 16S ribosomal RNA". It matches the Rfam family "Bacterial small subunit ribosomal RNA", at positions 524 to 776 of the family's 1533-position model. The record is from RNAcentral.
UACGUAGGGGGCAAGCGUUGUUCGGAAUUACUGGGCGUAAAGGGCGCGUAGGCGGCACGGCAAGUCAGGAGUGAAAGCCCUGGGCUCAACCCGGGAACUGCUUUUGAAACUGCCGAGCUAGAGUGCGGAAGGGGCAACUGGAAUUCCCAGUGUAGCGGUGAAAUGCGUAGAUAUUGGGAAGAACACCUGAGGCGAAGGCGGGUUGCUGGGCCGACACUGACGCUGAGGCGCGAAAGCGUGGGUAGCAAACAGG